GGACGAACGCUGGCGGCGUGCCUAAUACAUGCAAGUCGAGCGAACAUUUGAGAGCUUGCUCUCAAAUGUUAGCGGCGGACGGGUGAGUAACACGUGGGCAACCUGCCUAUAAGACUGGGAUAACUUCGGGAAACCGGAGCUAAUACCGGAUAAUUCACAUCUACUCAUGUAGAUGUGCUGAAAGCGGUUUACGCUGUCGCUUA
This 203-nucleotide ribosomal RNA is filed under the name uncultured bacterium. RNAcentral's name for it is "partial 16S ribosomal RNA". It matches the Rfam family "Bacterial small subunit ribosomal RNA", at positions 27 to 221 of the family's 1533-position model. The record is from RNAcentral.